Molecule: ribosomal RNA, 59 nt
Filed under: Cordyceps gunnii
Lineage: Eukaryota; Fungi; Ascomycota; Sordariomycetes; Hypocreales; Cordycipitaceae
Description: partial 18S ribosomal RNA
Rfam family: Eukaryotic small subunit ribosomal RNA
Source: RNAcentral
UAUCAUGAAAGAAAAGUCGUAACAAGGUCUCCGUUGGUGAACCAGCGGAGGGAGCAUUA